RNAcentral lists this ribosomal RNA (535 nucleotides) under uncultured bacterium. Its description in RNAcentral is "bacterial SSU rRNA". It matches the Rfam family "Bacterial small subunit ribosomal RNA", at positions 777 to 1308 of the family's 1533-position model. The record is from RNAcentral.
AAUAGUACCCGGGUAGUCCACGCCGUAAACGAUGAGUGCUAAGUGUUAAAGGGUUUCCGCCCUUUAGUGCUGCAGCUAACGCAUUAAGCACUCCGCCUGGGGAGUACGGUCGCAAGACUGAAACUCAAAGGAAUUGACGGGGGCCCGCACAAGCGGUGGAGCAUGUGGUUUAAUUCGAAGCAACGCGAAGAACCUUACCAGGUCUUGACAUCCCACUGACCGGUAUAGAGAUAUACCUUUCCCUUCGGGGACAGUGGUGACAGGUGGUGCAUGGUUGUCGUCAGCUCGUGUCGUGAGAUGUUGGGUCAAGUCCCGCAACGAGCGCAACCCUUGAUCUUAGUUGCCAGCAUUUAGUUGGGCACUCUAAGGUGACUGCCGGUGACAAACCGGAGGAAGGUGGGGAUGACGUCAAAUCAUCAUGCCCCUUAUGACCUGGGCUACACACGUGCUACAAUGGAUGGUACAAAGGGCUGCAAGACUGCGAAGUCAAGCCAAUCCCAUAAAACCAUUCGUCAGUUCCGGAAUUGCAGGCUGA